GUCUAUGGCCAUACCACCCCGAAUGUGCAUGAUCUCGUCUGUUCUAGGAAGCUAAGCAGGAUCAGGCCUGGUUAGUACUUGGGUGGGAGACCGCCUGGGAAUACUGUGUGCUGUAGGCU
This 119-nucleotide ribosomal RNA is filed under the name Neotoma lepida (desert woodrat). The record is from RNAcentral. Lineage: Eukaryota; Metazoa; Chordata; Mammalia; Rodentia; Cricetidae.